This 209-nucleotide small RNA is filed under the name uncultured Prevotella sp. RNAcentral describes it as "Bacteroidales-1 6S-Bacteroidales RNA suggested". It matches the Rfam family "Bacteroidales-1 6S-Bacteroidales RNA suggested". Lineage: Bacteria; Pseudomonadati; Bacteroidota; Bacteroidia; Bacteroidales; Prevotellaceae. The record is from RNAcentral.
GUCGUGCCGGUUCGAUCGGGAUACUCAUCAAAUUAAAUCGAAAACCGAGCUGACUUCUCUUGCCAAUGGCGGGCCACAAUGCGUGUAAUACUUCGACCGUUGAGGAAGAAAAGGUUGCAGGUAAGCCGAAAGGCCGGUGGAUUACAACGGCAGAGAGCACUCUAAUCUUGUAACACAGGAGUUUUCAUCACAUCACUGGGCGGCCCCUU